Molecule: transfer RNA, 73 nt
Organism: Camelus ferus (Wild Bactrian camel)
Lineage: Eukaryota; Metazoa; Chordata; Mammalia; Artiodactyla; Camelidae
Rfam family: tRNA
About the family: Transfer RNA (tRNA) molecules are approximately 80 nucleotides in length. Their secondary structure includes four short double-helical elements and three loops (D, anti-codon, and T loops).
Source: Rfam
GAGGGUAUAGCUCAAGUAGUAGAGUGCAUGCUUAGCAUGCACGAGGUCCUGGGUUCAAUCCCCAGUACCUCCU